CAGAGAGUAGUAUAUAGAGAAUAUCA
Molecule: transfer RNA, 26 nt
Filed under: Phataginus tricuspis (Tree pangolin)
Lineage: Eukaryota; Metazoa; Chordata; Mammalia; Pholidota; Manidae
Description: partial tRNA-Pro
Source: RNAcentral